RNAcentral lists this unclassified non-coding RNA (246 nucleotides) under fungal sp. RNAcentral's name for it is "partial internal transcribed spacer region". The stretch from base 1 to 46 matches the Rfam family "Eukaryotic small subunit ribosomal RNA", at positions 1786 to 1831 of the family's 1831-position model. The record is from RNAcentral. Lineage: Eukaryota; Fungi.
AAGUCGUAACAAGGUUUCCGUAGGUGAACCUGCGGAAGGAUCAUUAGUGAACUUUAGCGCACCUGCUUCAACCAGGGCGUGACACCUCUCACUUUUCAAACUCUGUGCACUUUUUUUUUGGCACGUUGGGGAGGAAGCGUAAGCGACCUUCUUGCGGCUCAUUUUUACAAAACACCUAGUCAUUGUAUGUCAUUGAAACUUAUAUAACAAAACCAAAAACUUUCAACAACGGAUCUCUUGGCUCUC